GUGGGGAAUCUUGCGCAAUGGGCGAAAGCCUGACGCAGCCAUGCCGCGUGAAUGAUGAAGGUCUUAGGAUUGUAAAAUUCUUUCACCGGGGACGAUAAUGACGGUACCCGGAGAAGAAGCCCCGGCUAACUUCGUGCCAGCAGCCGCGGUAAUACGAAGGGGGCUAGCGUUGCUCGGAAUUACUGGGCGUAAAGGGCGCGUAGGCGGACAGUUUAGUCAGAGGUGAAAGCCCAGGGCUCAACCUUGGAAUUGCCUUUGAUACUGGCUGUCUUGAGUACGGGAGAGGUGUGUGGAACUCCGAGUGUAGAGGUGAAAUUCGUAGAUAUUCGGAAGAACACCAGUGGCGAAGGCGACUCACUGGCCCGUUACUGACGCUGAGGCGCGAAAGCGUGGGGAGCAAACAGGAUUAGAAACCCCAGUAGUCC
RNAcentral lists this ribosomal RNA (425 nucleotides) under uncultured bacterium. RNAcentral's name for it is "partial 16S ribosomal RNA". It matches the Rfam family "Bacterial small subunit ribosomal RNA", at positions 354 to 796 of the family's 1533-position model. The record is from RNAcentral.